RNAcentral lists this ribosomal RNA (677 nucleotides) under Bacillus licheniformis. RNAcentral describes it as "bacterial SSU rRNA". It matches the Rfam family "Bacterial small subunit ribosomal RNA", at positions 357 to 1028 of the family's 1533-position model. Lineage: Bacteria; Bacillati; Bacillota; Bacilli; Caryophanales; Bacillaceae. The record is from RNAcentral.
AGGACUUCCGCAUGGACGAAAGUCUGACGGAGCACGCCGCGUGAGUGAUGAAGGUUUUCGGAUCGUAAAACUCUGUUGUUAGGGAAGAACAAGUACCGUUCGAAUAGGGCGGUACCUUGACGGUACCUAACCAGAAAGCCACGGCUAACUACGUGCCAGCAGCCGCGGUAAUACGUAGGUGGCAAGCGUUGUCCGGAAUUAUUGGGCGUAAAGCGCGCGCAGGCGGUUUCUUAAGUCUGAUGUGAAAGCCCCCGGCUCAACCGGGGAGGGUCAUUGGAAACUGGGGAACUUGAGUGCAGAAGAGGAGAGUGGAAUUCCACGUGUAGCGGUGAAAUGCGUAGAGAUGUGGAGGAACACCAGUGGCGAAGGCGACUCUCUGGUCUGUAACUGACGCUGAGGCGCGAAAGCGUGGGGAGCGAACAGGAUUAGAUACCCUGGUAGUCCACGCCGUAAACGAUGAGUGCUAAGUGUUAGAGGGUUUCCGCCCUUUAGUGCUGCAGCAAACGCAUUAAGCACUCCGCCUGGGGAGUACGGUCGCAAGACUGAAACUCAAAGGAAUUGACGGGGGCCCGCACAAGCGGUGGAGCAUGUGGUUUAAUUCGAAGCAACGCGAAGAACCUUACCAGGUCUUGACAUCCUCUGACAACCCUANAGAUAGGGCUUCCCCUUCGGGGGCA